Pelobates cultripes (western spadefoot toad) is the source of this 352-nucleotide non-coding RNA. NCBI's taxonomy places the organism in Eukaryota, Metazoa, Chordata, Amphibia, Anura, Pelobatidae. The record is from the annotation of a GenBank genome assembly.
UUCAAAAUGCACAAAUGUUAUAGACAACCUGGGGUGUUUGACCAAUUGAGGGGCAAAGGAAGGACUUGGAACAGCAAGAUACACGGACGUUGAGUAAUUCACCUCCACAGACAAGUUGUGUAGAAUUAAACGGACACUCUAAGUUUCAAAAACUAUUUGCAAGUCCUGGAUUCAAUGGUCCUCUAUGAGAAGAAUGAGACUGAUGUUGCACAGUGACUGGUGAAGUGUUAGAGUGUUAAUUUAUGUAAAAUAUUUGUUUGAUUACAUGAUUAAAAGAAAUUCCAUUCAUAGGUACAGCUGAAUAGCUUUAUCAUUUUGUAAUGACAGAUGUACUCACUACAGACCCUUGUUC